This 250-nucleotide unclassified non-coding RNA is filed under the name Hevea brasiliensis (rubber tree). The record is from RNAcentral. Lineage: Eukaryota; Viridiplantae; Streptophyta; Magnoliopsida; Malpighiales; Euphorbiaceae.
AUUGACUCCUUCUUACAGAGGAAUUUUAUGAUCAACUAAGCAAUAAGGAGGUAAUGUUGUAGUUUCCAAAAAUACUUUUUAAAAUUUUAAUUGAAGGUCCUAGAGCUAGUCAGAUUGUUGGGUAGUCAACUGCUCUUCAAAAAUAAGUUGAUCAAUAGCAUCCAAUUCCCAUAAAAUCGCAGUAAACACAAUAUCAGUUUUUAUGCAAAGAGGUUCAGCAGAAAUAAAAGUGCGGCCAACUCACCAUGCA